GGGAGCGGGUGUGUCAGGGGACUCUGCGGGAGCCUGCAGAACACCACACCUGCCCGAGGUGUCCCCCAGAAGGACUGGAGACUUCGUGCAGGAGGUGAGCCCCAUGCCAGCCUGAGCCACAGAGCCCACUGGUCCCCAGCCAAGCCCCGGGGCAAGCAUAGUCGCACCCAGAAGUGUGGGACUCCCCCCCAGCACACCUGUACCCCCACCUAUGGAGCUGGUGGCAAGCUGGUCCCCCCAUGACCCCACCCAGGAGAGCUGGCCCUGCUGGGCGCCUCUGGCCAGACCAACCCCCCUGUGACAACCCAGCGCUCCGCAACUUCUCCUAGGCCCACCCCACGUGCUCCCCAUCCCGUGUGCUCAAGACCCCACCCAGGCCAGGGUGGCCGGGCAGAGCAGCAGAUGAGCAGACACCCCACACUCACCUGGACACCCCACCCUCGGGCUCGGACCCGAUGCCUCUGUGGAGUAGGUCCACACACAGGGCCCGCGGGAGAGCUCUGGAGAACUCAGUCUCCCGGGUGGGCUCAGUCUCACGGCCAGGCCCUCGCCAAGGUGUCCAAGGUGUGCCCGCCCCCUGCCCGACACACCUGACCCCAGGGCCACGGAGCAGCCGGGUCCCUGAUCACAGUGCCCCUCCGGGGAGUCGGAAUGUUCCAGGGGCCGGGCCAGGCACGUGAGGCCACCCUAGGCUCACAGAGAAGAUUCUAGUCCUGGACACACUGUGUAGCAGGGGGCCAGGAUGCCAUCACUGCAGGCCAGAGAGCCGCGGCUCCAACCCAAACAGUGCACAGAGACACACUCACUCACACCUCCAGGCGCCUGCACGCCCCUGUGCUGGACACCCACAGCCUCAGACACGCUAGAAGCACGCACAGGCCUGCCUCGGGGCGCCCCCUGCUGGUGGGAUGACACAGGCACGAGGGACACCUCAUGGGGGUGACAGGUGGCCUCUGGCCACAGGGCUGCCAUGUGGGUCCACACUGCAUUCUGGAUUCGGAUGAUGCUGU
RNAcentral lists this long non-coding RNA (1010 nucleotides) under Marmota monax (woodchuck). Lineage: Eukaryota; Metazoa; Chordata; Mammalia; Rodentia; Sciuridae. The record is from RNAcentral.